This 108-nucleotide small nuclear RNA is filed under the name Carlito syrichta (Philippine tarsier). RNAcentral's name for it is "U5 spliceosomal RNA (ENSTSYG00000024536.2)". It matches the Rfam family "U5 spliceosomal RNA". From Rfam's summary of the family: U5 RNA is a component of both types of known spliceosome. The precise function of this molecule is unknown, though it is known that the 5' loop is required for splice site selection and p220 binding, and that both the 3' stem-loop and the Sm site are important for Sm protein binding and cap methylation. Lineage: Eukaryota; Metazoa; Chordata; Mammalia; Primates; Tarsiidae. The record is from RNAcentral.
AUAUUUAUUUUCAAAGCGUAAAAAUCUUUCACGUUUUACUAAGAUUCCCAUGGAGAGGAACAACCCUGAGUCUUUAGCAAUUUUUUGAGGCCUUGCAUUUGCAGGGCU